RNAcentral lists this ribosomal RNA (465 nucleotides) under Vreelandella stevensii. RNAcentral describes it as "partial 16S ribosomal RNA". It matches the Rfam family "Bacterial small subunit ribosomal RNA", at positions 338 to 795 of the family's 1533-position model. Lineage: Bacteria; Pseudomonadati; Pseudomonadota; Gammaproteobacteria; Oceanospirillales; Halomonadaceae. The record is from RNAcentral.
CCUACGGGAGGCUGCAGUGGGGAAUAUUGGACAAUGGGCGAAAGCCUGAUCCAGCCAUGCCGCGUGUGUGAAGAAGGCCUUCGGGUUGUAAAGCACUUUCAGUGGGGAAGAAAGCCUUGGGGCUAAUACCCUCGAGGAAGGACAUCACCCACAGAAGAAGCACCGGCUAACUCCGUGCCAGCAGCCGCGGUAAUACUGAGGGUGCGAGCGUUAAUCGGAAUUACUGGGCGUAAAGCGCGCGUAGGCGGUCUGAUAAGCCGGUUGUGAAAGCCCCGGGCUCAACCUGGGAACGGCAUCCGGAACUGUCAGGCUAGAGUGCAGGAGAGGAAGGUAGAAUUCCCGGUGUAGCGGUGAAAUGCGUAGAGAUCGGGAGGAAUACCAGUGGCGAAGGCGGCCUUCUGGACUGACACUGACGCUGAGGUGCGAAAGCGUGGGUAGCAAACAGGAUUAGAUACCCUUGUAGUC